RNAcentral lists this ribosomal RNA (465 nucleotides) under Vreelandella stevensii. RNAcentral's name for it is "partial 16S ribosomal RNA". It matches the Rfam family "Bacterial small subunit ribosomal RNA", at positions 338 to 795 of the family's 1533-position model. Lineage: Bacteria; Pseudomonadati; Pseudomonadota; Gammaproteobacteria; Oceanospirillales; Halomonadaceae. The record is from RNAcentral.
CCUACGGGAGGCUGCAGUGGGGAAUAUUGGACAAUGGGGGGAACCCUGAUCCAGCCAUGCCGCGUGUGUGAAGAAGGCCCUCGGGUUGUAAAGCACUUUCAGUGAGGAAGAACGCCUGGUGGUUAAUACCCAUCAGGAAAGACAUCACUCACAGAAGAAGCACCGGCUAACUCCGUGCCAGCAGCCGCGGUAAUACGGAGGGUGCGAGCGUUAAUCGGAAUUACUGGGCGUAAAGCGCGCGUAGGUGGCUUGAUAAGCCGGUUGUGAAAGCCCCGGGCUCAACCUGGGAACGGCAUCCGGAACUGUCAAGCUAGAGUGCAGGAGAGGAAGGUAGAAUUCCCGGUGUAGCGGUGAAAUGCGUAGAGAUCGGGAGGAAUACCAGUGGCGAAGGAGGCCUUCUGGACUGACACUGACACUGAGGUGCGAAAGCGUGGGUAGCAAACAGGAUUAGAUACCCCAGUAGUC